This 474-nucleotide long non-coding RNA is filed under the name Malus domestica (apple). RNAcentral's name for it is "long non-coding RNA (MDOM_LNC019123)". The record is from RNAcentral. Lineage: Eukaryota; Viridiplantae; Streptophyta; Magnoliopsida; Rosales; Rosaceae.
UCGAAGCCAUGAACGGCCAGAACCUCGACGGCCGCAACAUCACCGUCAAUGAGGCUCAGUCUCGCGGAUCUGGAGGAGGCGGUGGCGGAGGAGGCUACAGCCGCGGAGGAGGCGGUGGUGGAUACGGAGGCAGUGGCGGGUACGGAGGCGGUGGUCGUCGUGAAGGCGGCGGAGGUGGCUACAGCCGUGGAGGUGGCGGUGGUGGAUAUGGCGGUGGCGGUGGUGGAUAUGGCGGUGGUCGUCGUGAGGGAGGAUACGGAGGUGGUGAGGGUGGCUAUUCCAGGGGUGGGGGUGGAGCUGAGGGCGGCAGCUGGAGAAGUUAAAUUAGGGUUAAGAUAGAGUAUUUGGGGCUCUGGAAUGUGUGAUCUCUCUGGUUAUGUGUUAGGGUUAGGGUUUGGAUCAGGUAGUUGGUUUGUCUGUCUGCGAUGGUGGUGGUGUCGGUGUCUCUUUCUGUUGUCGAUAAUUUUGAUCGAU